AUCUUUGGUUAUCUAGCUGUAUGAGUGUUAUUCAGCCGUCAUAAAGCUAGAUAACCGAAAGU
This is a non-coding RNA of Lepisosteus oculatus (spotted gar), 62 nucleotides long. The record is from Rfam. NCBI's taxonomy places the organism in Eukaryota, Metazoa, Chordata, Actinopteri, Semionotiformes, Lepisosteidae.